GCAGAGCUCAGAGCAGACCAAACGCCAAUGCAGAAGGCUCAAGAAAGAGGCAAACAGACUAGCCACUGCUCCAGGAUGACUGUGGCUCUUUAUGAGUGAAGAGAAAGGGUGGAGACUGAAGACAGAACUGGGGACAGUGACAGGCUUGGGGAAGAACAGCUGAUUCAGCAGUCCCAAGCAUCUGAACACAAGGUGGACAUUCUCCAGGGUGACAUCGCAAAAUACAUGGGUGAAGACAACCUAGUGGCCGUGACUUGGAGCACCCUUCCUCACAAUGAAGGCAUUCUGGGCCAGCCUGAAAAACAGCAUGGAAAUAAAUCACCUAAGUACAAGGGACCUCGGUGACAACGCUGUGAACAUCUAUGGAUUCCGCAUUCAAGUACUUUGUCACAACUGUCUCCACAAGUUGGUACAUCUUCUGUACAAGGCAAAGAAAACUCUAAAAACAUACAAAAAGUCAAUGUUAAUAAUGAGACAUUAUUAUUAAACAUCAACAAAGUGCCAUGUUCUUCAGGCUCCCUAAGGAAUGCUAGCACUUUCAGACUAUAAAUUUUUGUAUCCACAUAAUCAUUGGGAAAAAUUAACUUUAAUGAAAAUAAUCCCUAAUAUUUGUGAAGUUUAUGGUUUUUAAAAAGAAAUUUGACACAAGUUACUAUCCUCAAGAAACACAUUUUUAUGGGCUAUCUACUUCAGAAAUAGUUAUCUAAAGAAAUGAGUAAAGACUACAUAAACCAUU
Molecule: long non-coding RNA, 736 nt
Organism: Homo sapiens (human)
Lineage: Eukaryota; Metazoa; Chordata; Mammalia; Primates; Hominidae
Source: Ensembl